CACCACUGCAAGAGGGGAAGUUGCUACUGUGAUGAAUUCUGCCAUGUGGUACCAGACUGCUACCCAGACCACAGUGUCCUCUGCAACCCUCCUUCUCAGAUGACCAAGAUGGUGCUGCAGAUGGUGCUGAGGAUGGAGAACCCACCAAGCCCCGCUAGGAGCCACCUAGACUGGAUGUAGAGCAUGGAUUCUGGAUGUAUACAGAUGUUCUUCAUCUUAGGAAGGGUUUACGUCCCAAUAAACACGUGGCUAAAACCUUUGAAGAGGAAUUUAUUAUAUCCUACAAACCUGGGAGGCAGAGGUUGCAGUGAGCCAAGAUUGGGCCAUCGCACUCCAGCCUGGGCAAUAAGAAUGAAACUCUGUCUCAAAAAAACAAAAGUUGGCUAGGGCUGGGCGUGGUGGCUCACACCUGUAAUCCCAGCACUUUGGGAGGCUAAAGCAGGUGGAUCACCUGAGGUCAGAAGUACGAGACCAUCCUGGCUAAUAUGGUGAAACCCCAUCUCUAC
This 506-nucleotide long non-coding RNA is filed under the name Pan troglodytes (chimpanzee). RNAcentral describes it as "lincRNA". The record is from RNAcentral. Lineage: Eukaryota; Metazoa; Chordata; Mammalia; Primates; Hominidae.